This 507-nucleotide ribosomal RNA is filed under the name Xylariaceae sp. LC-WC-2012. Its description in RNAcentral is "eukaryotic LSU rRNA". It matches the Rfam family "Eukaryotic large subunit ribosomal RNA", at positions 80 to 597 of the family's 3401-position model. Lineage: Eukaryota; Fungi; Ascomycota; Sordariomycetes; Xylariales; Xylariaceae. The record is from RNAcentral.
CUAGUAACGGCGAGUGAAGCGGCAACAGCUCAAAUUUGAAAUCUGGCCCUCGGGUCCGAGUUGUAAUUUGUAGAGGAUGCUUUUGGCGCGGUGCCUUCCGAGUUCCCUGGAACGGGACGCCUUAGAGGGUGAGAGCCCCGUACGGUUGGACACCAAGCCUCUGUAAAGCUCCUUCGACGAGUCGAGUAGCUUGGGAAUGCUGCUCUAAAUGGGAGGUAAAUUUCUUCUAAAGCUAAAUAUUGGCCAGAGACCGAUAGCGCACAAGUAGAGUGAUCGAAAGAUGAAAAGCACUUUGAAAAGAGGGUUAAACAGCACGUGAAAUUGUUGAAAGGGAAGCGUUUGCGACCAGACCUUUUCCUAGCGGAUCAUCCGGUGUUCUCACCGGUGCACUUCGCUAGGUUUAGGCCAGCAUCGGUUUCUGUAGGGGGAUAAAAGCUCUGGGAACGUAGCUCCUCCGGGAGUGUUAUAGCCCUCUGCAUAAUACCCUUACGGGGACCGAGGACCGCG